Molecule: ribosomal RNA, 377 nt
Filed under: uncultured Chloroflexota bacterium
Lineage: Bacteria; Bacillati; Chloroflexota
Description: bacterial SSU rRNA
Rfam family: Bacterial small subunit ribosomal RNA
Source: RNAcentral
UAAUACGUAGGUGGCAAGCGUUGUCCGGAUUUACUGGGCGUAAAGGGCGCGCAGGCGGCCCGUCAAGUCUAGGGUGAAAGCUCCCGGCUUAACCGGGAGAGGUCUCUGGAUACUGGCAGGCUUGAGGGAAGCAGAGGAGAGCGGAAUUCCCGGUGGAGCGGUGAUAUGCGUAGAUAUCGGGAGGAACACCAGUGGCGAAGGCGGCUCUCUGGGCUUUUCCUGACGCUGAGGCGCGAAAGCGUGGGGAGCGAACCGGAUUAGAUACCCGGGUAGUCCACGCCGUAAACGUUGGGCACUAGGUGUGGGAGGUAUUGACCCCUUCCGUGCCGUAGUUAACGCGAUAAGUGCCCCGCCUGGGGAGUACGGCCGCAAGGCUA